This 211-nucleotide ribosomal RNA is filed under the name Archaeosporaceae sp. Its description in RNAcentral is "partial large subunit ribosomal RNA". The record is from RNAcentral. Lineage: Eukaryota; Fungi; Glomeromycota; Glomeromycetes; Archaeosporales; Archaeosporaceae.
AGUGGGAAGGUAGCUCCCUCGGGAGUGUUAUAGCCUGCUAUAGAUGGCGUGACAGAGAUCGAGGAUUGCAGCGAAUGCCUUUAGGCUACGAGUCUGGUCUCUGUAAAGGCGUUAUCUUGUCUGUCAGCAUGCUGACGGCUCGUUGGCACUCUCCAAUAGGUUCAGAACUCGAUAAAUUCGCUAAGGAUGUUGACGUAAUGGCUUUAAACGA